GACGAACGCUGGCGGCGUGCUUAACACAUGCAAGUCGAGCGGAAAGGCCCUUCGGGGUACUCGAGCGGCGAACGGGUGAGUAACACGUGAGUAACCUGCCCCAGUCUUUGGGAUAACCCUCGGAAACGGGGGCUAAUACCGGAUACGACACAGCUUCGCAUGGGGUCUGUGUGGAAAGUUUUUCGGUUUGGGAUGGGCUCGCGGCCUAUCAGCUUGUUGGUGGGGUGAUGGCCUACCAAGGCGACGACGGGUAGCCGGCCUGAGAGGGCGACCGGCCACACUGGGACUGAGACACGGCCCAGACUCCUACGGGAGGCAGCAGUGGGGAAUAUUGCACAAUGGGCGGAAGCCUGAUGCAGCGACGCCGCGUGAGGGAUGACGGCCUUCGGGUUGUAAACCUCUUUCAGCAGGGACGAAGCGUAAGUGACGGUACCUGCAGAAGAAGCGCCGGCCAACUACGUG
Molecule: ribosomal RNA, 462 nt
Filed under: uncultured bacterium
Lineage: Bacteria
Description: partial 16S ribosomal RNA
Rfam family: Bacterial small subunit ribosomal RNA
Source: RNAcentral